GCAACGGUUCGAAUCCCGUGCAACGACGGUUGAUUUAUAUAAAAUUAAAUAACUUAACUUAACAUUAAACUUAACUUAAAUUUCAAUUUCUAAAACACAAGAGGUCAUAGUUUUUGUAUUUUCCCUCAUGUUUUAAUGUUGUCUUUCUUUCCUUAAACCGGUAAAACUGAAGAAAAUUAUCGACUUUUGUCUCUUUAGUGUCGUAAAAUUUUAAGUUUCUGGUCGGUAUAGCAUUAGUCCGGGGAACAAAUGAUUUUACACUUGCUCAAAUACCAAAAAUUCAGAUAUUUCUACGUCUUUUACUGUUUUAAUUGACAAAUUCGGGAUAGAAUUGACAAUCUUAUGAAUGUUUACAUUAAUGUAAUUUUUUUCGGAUAAAAUCGUUUUUCAAAAAUAUUAUAACAAACUUUGAUAGCUUGUCCUGUAAAGUUUACCAAAAGGACUUUUUGUACCUUUUCGCAUGGACUGGCUCAUAU
This 476-nucleotide long non-coding RNA is filed under the name Mytilus galloprovincialis (Mediterranean mussel). The record is from RNAcentral. Lineage: Eukaryota; Metazoa; Mollusca; Bivalvia; Mytilida; Mytilidae.